CCUAAGCAAAGAUGAAGAGGACAAGGACAACAAUGUAUACUUUUUGAAGAAUGAUGAUCCUAAUCUUAUAAUCAAAUCAAGGAAAUACCAAAGGUAUUUUAUUUCUAGUAAAUCAAGGACACCUAUGUUAUAGUUUUUACACAUUAUUUUUUAUUCUUCUCCAAGAAUUUCUGCAUUUAUGUAGAACCUAAGCAGAGGACGCCAUUAAAGUUGAAAUUCUUUUGAAAAACGAACUCUAUAACCACACUACUCAUUUGUCUAUAUCUUUUUUUUUAACCUUUAUGAUCGCAGGCGUAACUUUCGGAUAAGAGAUUGAGGGUUGUUCCCUAAUAAAUGGUUAGUUCCUACUUCACUUCAAAGUUCAAUGUAUAUUUUGAUUUUUCCAUAUGAGAAAGUUAGGUUUUUUGCUUCUCUUCUUUUAUAUUACAUCACACACAAAUAGUUUCUAUUAACCAUCAACUUUGAUUGCAGUUGCUCACAAUUUCACAUCUGCAAUUUCAUAAUAUAUUUGUUGUCCCUUGAUGAAAAGAAAAAAGGUAUCAAUGAGGUGCAACUAAUUAUGAAGGCUUUGAUGAAUUAUUGAAUUUAACUUCACCAUUACAAGGAAGGAUGAAGAAUCGAGAUGAGCAAUAUGUUGAAUGUAUAGAGAGAAAUUGAGGAUGCUCUGGAAAUACUUAAUGACUAAUUCAGCAGUCCAUGAAUCCUCAUAAUUUCACAUUAUUUGAAAUAUGUGAUGAUGAGAUCGCAAGAAAUGUUACUUUGUUUUUCGUAGUAAUUAUCAUGUAAGAAGAAAAAAGAAG
This is a long non-coding RNA of Vigna unguiculata (cowpea), 800 nucleotides long. The record is from RefSeq and is a predicted model, not a curated record. NCBI's taxonomy places the organism in Eukaryota, Viridiplantae, Streptophyta, Magnoliopsida, Fabales, Fabaceae.